This 257-nucleotide ribosomal RNA is filed under the name uncultured Pseudomonas sp. RNAcentral's name for it is "partial 16S ribosomal RNA". It matches the Rfam family "Bacterial small subunit ribosomal RNA", at positions 1129 to 1382 of the family's 1533-position model. The record is from RNAcentral. Lineage: Bacteria; Pseudomonadati; Pseudomonadota; Gammaproteobacteria; Pseudomonadales; Pseudomonadaceae.
UGGUGGGCACUCUAAGGAGACUGCCGGUGGACAAACCGGAAGGAAGGUGGGGAGUGACGUCAAGUCAUCAUGGCCCUUACGGCCUGGGCUACACACGUGCUACAAUGGUCGGUACAAAGGGUUGCCAAGCCGCGAGGUGGAGCUAAUCCCAUAAAACCGAUCGUAGUCCGGAUCGCAGUCUGCAACUCGACUGCGUGAAGUCGGAAUCGCUAGUAAUCGUGAAUCAGAAUGUCACGGUGAAUACGUUCCCGGGCCUU